AGGCCACUGCUAUCGGGGUUUGACUAAGCCAUGCGAGUCGAGAGGUGCAAGACCUCGGCGAACUGCUCAGUAACACGUGGACAAUCUGCCCUGAAGAAGAGAAUAAUCCCGGGAAACUGGGGGUAAUGCUCUAUAUUCCGAACUGACUGGAAUGUUGUUUGGAAGAAAGAUUUAUCGCUUCAGGAUGAGUCUGCGGCCGAUUAGGUUGUUGUUGGGGUAAAGGCCCAACAAGCCUGUAAUCGGUACGGGUUGUGGGAGCAAGAGCCCGGAGAUGGAUUCUGAGACACGAGUCCAGGCCCUACGGGGCGCAGCAGGCGCGAAAACUUUACAAUGCGGGCAACCGUGAUAAGGAAACCCCGAGUGCCACCAUGGGGUGGCUGUCCGCCAGUUUAAACAACUGGUGAAGAAAGGGCCGGGCAAGACCGGUGCCAGCCGCCGCGGUAAUACCGGCGGCUCGAGUGGUGGCCGCUUUUACUGGGCUUAAAGGGUCCGUAGCUUGAUUCAUGGGUCCCUUGAGAAAUCCAUCGGCUUAACUGAUGGGCGUUCAGGGGAAACUGUGUAUCUAGGGACCGGGAGAGGUGAGAGGUACUGCCGGGGUAGGAGUGAAAUCCUGUAAUCCCGGUGGGACGACCUAUGGCGAAGGCAUCUCACCAGAACGGCUCCGACAGUGAGGGACGAAAGCUGGGGGAGCAAACCGGAUUA
RNAcentral lists this ribosomal RNA (702 nucleotides) under uncultured archaeon. RNAcentral's name for it is "bacterial SSU rRNA". It matches the Rfam family "Archaeal small subunit ribosomal RNA", at positions 21 to 731 of the family's 1478-position model. The record is from RNAcentral.